GAGUUUGAUCCUGGCUCAGAUUGAACGCUGGCGGCAGGCCUAACACAUGCAAGUCGAGCGGAUGAGAAGAGCUUGCUCUUCGAUUCAGCGGCGGACGGGUGAGUAAUGCCUAGGAAUCUGCCUGGUAGUGGGGGACAACGUUUCGAAAGGAACGCUAAUACCGCAUACGUCCUACGGGAGAAAGCAGGGGACCUUCGGGCCUUGCGCUAUCAGAUGAGCCUAGGUCGGAUUAGCUAGUUGGUGAGGUAAUGGCUCACCAAGGCUACGAUCCGUAACUGGUCUGAGAGGAUGAUCAGUCACACUGGAACUGAGACACGGUCCAGACUCCUACGGGAGGCAGCAGUGGGGAAUAUUGGACAAUGGGCGAAAGCCUGAUCCAGCCAUGCCGCGUGUGUGAAGAAGGUCUUCGGAUUGUAAAGCACUUUAAGUUGGGAGGAAGGGCAGUAAGCUAAUACCUUGCUGUUUUGACGUUACCGACAGAAUAAGCACCGGCUAACUCUGUGCCAGCAGCCGCGGUAAUACAGAGGGUGCAAGCGUUAAUCGGAAUUACUGGGCGUAAAGCGCGCGUAGGUGGUUUGUUAAGUUGGAUGUGAAAGCCCCGGGCUCAACCUGGGAACUGCAUCCAAAACUGGCAAGCUAGAGUAUGGUAGAGGGUGGUGGAA
This 662-nucleotide ribosomal RNA is filed under the name uncultured Pseudomonas sp. Its description in RNAcentral is "bacterial SSU rRNA". It matches the Rfam family "Bacterial small subunit ribosomal RNA", at positions 9 to 666 of the family's 1533-position model. Lineage: Bacteria; Pseudomonadati; Pseudomonadota; Gammaproteobacteria; Pseudomonadales; Pseudomonadaceae. The record is from RNAcentral.